RNAcentral lists this ribosomal RNA (492 nucleotides) under uncultured bacterium. Its description in RNAcentral is "partial 16S ribosomal RNA". It matches the Rfam family "Bacterial small subunit ribosomal RNA", at positions 29 to 507 of the family's 1533-position model. The record is from RNAcentral.
AGUGAACGCUGGCGGUAGGCCUAACACAUGCAAGUCGAACGGCAGCACAAUAAGAGCUUGCUCUUACGGGUGGCGAGUGGCGGACGGGUGAGGAAUACAUCGGAAUCUACUUUUUCGUGGGGGAUAACGUAGGGAAACUUACGCUAAUACCGCAUACGACCUACGGGUGAAAGCAGGGGAUCUUCGGACCUUGCGCGAUUGAAUGAGCCGAUGUCGGAUUAGCUAGUUGGCGGGGUAAAGGCCCACCAAGGCGACGAUCCGUAGCUGGUCUGAGAGGAUGAUCAGCCACACUGGAACUGAGACACGGUCCAGACUCCUACGGGAGGCAGCAGUGGGGAAUAUUGGACAAAGGGCGCAAGCCUGAUCCAGCCAUACCGCGUGGGUGAAGAAGGCCUUCGGGUUGUAAAGCCCUUUUGUUGGGAAAGAAAAGCAGCAGGUUAAUACCCCGCUGUUCUGACGGUACCCAAAGAAUAAGCACCGGCUAACUUCGUG